This 202-nucleotide unclassified non-coding RNA is filed under the name uncultured Sebacina. RNAcentral's name for it is "sequence contains ITS2". Lineage: Eukaryota; Fungi; Basidiomycota; Agaricomycetes; Sebacinales; Sebacinaceae. The record is from RNAcentral.
GUACUCUCACACUCCCAAUCCAAGGGAUUGGGAGCGGUGGACUUGGGUGUUGCAGCUUGACUGAGGCUCACCUGAAAUAUGUUAGUGCAUCUCUUGAUUGAACAUAGUACGGCGUGAUAAGUGUCUUCGCCGGCUCCUCGCAAAGAGGGUGGUCGAUCGGGAGCUCUGUUGCUUCAAACUGUCUUCGGACAAUCUUCUGACA